AUCUUCCGCCCGGCCAUCGGGCCGCGGGCGCUCGGAACCGACCUGGGAGCUGGCGGGACCGUCCUCCCCCGCCACGCCCUCCCAUCGGGCUUUGGGCGCCGGACUCUGGCCACCGCUCGGCACCUGCCUCCGCCUCGCCUUGGGGUAUAGGAGUCCUGUACCGACCCCUGGCUUGCCCAGAGGACAGGUUCUCGCCCGGGCCAGAAGCAAACUGCGGCGAAAUCGAGACAACAGAACUCAGUGCCCUUUCUUUUUCUUCAGAGUCACUCUGUCACCCAGGCUGGAGUGCAGUGGCACCAUCACAGCUCCCUGCAGCCUUGACUUACAGGGCUCCAGUGAUCCUCCACCCUCAGCCUCCUGAGUAUCUGAGACCACAGGUGCAAGCCACCAUGCCCAGAGUGGACCAGUGUGAUGUUUUGUGGAAUGUCAGAACAAUCAAGAUCACUUCAGACUAUUAUGGCAGUGAGCAAGAGAACUAAUGGAGCCCGUGGCAACACUGGGAAGACAUAUUGUUGGCCCUGUUGGGUAACAGCAAAUCACUUCUGAUGGACCUUGCAAAUUGGUAUGGAGGAAAAGGCAUUAGCCAGUUGUAGCAAGGAAACCAAAAGGUAUAAACAUUCACUGAUUGAAAAACAAUGUCAUAAAGUCAUCCCAGUAUCUGUGAGGAGUUGGUUCCAGGACCCCUGAGGACACCAAAAUCCUCAGAUGCUCAAGUCCCUGAUAAAAAAAUAAAAGCAGUGGUGCCCUCGGGUUCAAAAACCUGAACGGUGGUCUUCAGUUGUUCCCCCAAGCUCCUCUAUCAGAGGCCCAGACACUCCAAGAGGCUGGGAAGAGGCAAGUGGCUUUCCCUGACUGGCAUCAGACUCCUGGAUGGCUGUGUUUCUGCAUACUCCACCAUCAACAAUCAGAAGGGCACUGCUUUCUUCAAGAAGGGGACCUUGCAAAGAACUGUCUCAGAUGGACUAUCUUUGAGUUCAUCUUGUUCUGAAUGUGAGUCUGAGUCUUUGUUUCCAGAUGACACAGUGCUGUCUGAGUCCUCUGAAUCACCUGCCUCAGAGCUGCAGCAAAGUUUCUGCUGCCCAGAAACUGAAUGGGCUGCUUGUAAUGCAGAUUCUUCCUCCUGGACAAGAAGUGCUGCUGCUUCUAGUUCUUCCAGUUCUAACCCCAACUGGGCCUUUGUAAGGGAGACUUCCUUUAAGGCUUCUGCAAGAGCUGCCAACGUUUUGGAUUUGACUUUCUGAGUCCACACACAGUAGUAUGAGAUGUAGAGAUCAUUCAGUAUGUAUGCUGGGUCGUUUUCCUGAAAAAUUUUGUGAAUAUCCAGGAGACACUUUAAAACUGCACUUUUACUUAAUUGCAGUAUCUUUAUAGUCUCCCCGUAGGCCUUCAUCGCCAGUUUGAAAUGGCGAUAGAGCAGGUAACACAAUACCCUUCUUCCAAAAGACACCAUGAUAUCAUGAACAUUAGUCCAAGUCUCAAACCAGCAUAGUAUUGGACUCAAGUUUCGUGAUAUUCCAUGCAGAUUCAACGUUCUUGUCUCCUUCAGUGACACGGGUUUCUUAGCAAUAUGCCAGAAGGAUAUCAAUCGAACUGUAGUACACUUGACGACAGGCUCUGUUGUCUAGCAGAUAAGAUUUAUUGACAAAUUCUUGUAGCUGAUAUUUCUCUUCUUCAGAAAAAGACACUAAUGCAGCAUGAUUUUCUUGCUUCUGACUCUUUUCCAAAAAGGCCGUCAUUUUUUAAUAUUUGUCAGUCCACCAAGGAUUAUACUUCAAAAUCUGUUCAACUGCCUCAUCUUCAAAAAAGUCAGCUAGAUAAUGAUCAGGAUCAAACUUGGCCAGCUCGGCGGCCAGGUGCUUUUGUUUUCGUUCUGCUGCAGGGAUGAAAUCUGGAUCCUUAAUAACAUCACUCAAUUCAUCCUGUAACUGCUGAAACACUCCUGAUCGUAAGUUUCCAAACCCAUAGUGGCAUGAGGAUUCAAAGCACUUUCUGUUACCUCUUCAUAGGGUGUCUGCUCAAUUUCCCAAUCAAACUCUUCAUCGUCAACUACUUCCUCAGGAAUUUCAGAAUCACCUAUUGCUUCCACAAGUGGUUUUGCUGUCCCGGAUUUUCCUGGUGCCAGAAGAGCAACACAUGUUCAGCCCCUCAAAAUGCUGGCCAGGGGUUUCUCUGGGCAGGCGAGUGGUAAAAAUUCCUUUAUCUGCAUCAUAGGACCCUUGCUCGCUUCCGUAUCCAUAUUCUACAAUUCUUCCAGGAGGGGUUAAUCUGAGAAAGUACGGCUUGGCAUAGUAGUCUAGGCCGACCCCUCGAAGUAGACGUUGAACUCGGAGGCCGGGGCAUAGGGCACGCGGAUGGCGAUGGUCAGGAAAUCCGGCUCCUGGCUGAGGCUGAACGCCGGGGUCAGCAUCGCGGCACCAGACGCAGGGGCCAGCGCGGCUCGCCCUCGCUGCCGCGGCGGUCCCACCAAGCAACUCUCUCCAAUUUUACCUUUUUAAAAUAAAAGAUGUCUGGGCCAGGCGCAGUGGCUCACGCUUGUAAUCCCAGCACUUUGGGAAGCCGAGGCGGGUGGAUCCUGACCUGAGGUCAGGAGUUCAAGAUCAGCCCCGCCGACAUGACGAAACUCCGUCUCUACUAAAAAUACAAACAUCAGCCGGACGUGGUGGUGGGCGC
RNAcentral lists this long non-coding RNA (2670 nucleotides) under Homo sapiens (human). RNAcentral's name for it is "non-protein coding SGMS1-AS1:21". Lineage: Eukaryota; Metazoa; Chordata; Mammalia; Primates; Hominidae. The record is from RNAcentral.